CGGCGUGCUUAACACAUGCAAGUCGAGCGGUAAGGCACUUCGGUGUACACGAGCGGCGAACGGGUGAGUAACACGUGAGUAAUCUGCCCUUCACUCUGGGAUAAGCACUCGAAAGGGUGUCUAAUACCGGAUACGACAUAGUCCUGCAUGGGAUCUGUGUGGAAACUUUUAUGGGUGGGGGAUGUGCUCGCGGCCUAUCAGCUUGUUGGUGGGGUAAUGGCCUACCAAGGCUUCGACGGGUAGCCGGCCUGAGAGGGUGACCGGCCACACUGGGACUGAGACACGGCCCAGACUCCUACGGGAGGCAGCAGUGGGGAAUAUUGGACAAUGGGCGGAAGCCUGAUCCAGCAACGCCGCGUGAGGGAUGACGGCCUUCGGGUUGUAAACCUCUUUCAUCACAGACGAAGCGCCCGUGUGGGUGGUGACGGUAUGUGGAGAAGAAGCACCGGCCAACUACGUGCCAGCAGCCGCCGUAAGAC
RNAcentral lists this ribosomal RNA (479 nucleotides) under uncultured bacterium. Its description in RNAcentral is "bacterial SSU rRNA". It matches the Rfam family "Bacterial small subunit ribosomal RNA", at positions 40 to 526 of the family's 1533-position model. The record is from RNAcentral.